GUCCUCCCUUCAGCCACACAUAUACUGAAAGUGGAACAAUACAGAAAAGAUAGGCAAGGCCACUGUCCAAGGAUGGCAUGCUAAUUCCUAAAGGGUUACAUAAAAAU
Small nuclear RNA from Echinops telfairi (small Madagascar hedgehog), 107 nucleotides. The record is from Ensembl. Lineage: Eukaryota; Metazoa; Chordata; Mammalia; Afrosoricida; Tenrecidae.